Molecule: RNA transcript, 3475 nt
Organism: Lycium barbarum (goji berry)
Lineage: Eukaryota; Viridiplantae; Streptophyta; Magnoliopsida; Solanales; Solanaceae
Gene name: DNA-binding protein RHL1-like
Exons: 7
Source: RefSeq, a predicted model, not a curated record
CCAGUUAAACCCUUCUCUUUCCAUUUCUCCCUCUUUCCCUCUCACAUUUUUGAGGUCCCUCUCUCUCUAAACCUAAUACACCAUACGUCACCAAGUGUAGGGAGUCACCGUCGCCGUCGUCCACACCCAGUACUGCCGUUUCCAUCACCAGUUAUCAUCAACAUUUGAGUUCUCCAGAGGUGGGAAGAAUGUAGUGUGCGAAGAUUACCUUGACAAUAUGAUUGUGUUUUCUGAUGCAUGGUGGAUAGGGUGGAAGGAUGAGAAUCCUGAAGAAGCACGGCUCGAGUUUCCAAAGGAGCUAAAUGUGCAGCAAGAGAAAUUGGAGUGUGAUUUCAAAGGUGGUGCAGGUGCUACAUGCGUUCAAAAACGAAGUAUUAGCGAAUGUGGGGUCAAGCAUAUGGAGCAACAGUCUCCUGAACAUGAACAGGAGGAGAAUUUUGCAGAAAGUCAAAAUGAUUCAAAAGAAGUUAUAGAAUUAACUUCAAGUCGUCGUGCAGCAAGGGCAGCAGGAAAAAAAUUCAACUUUUAUCAGGGGAGUUCAAAGACACUUCAUGGACUGAUUACUGGACCUGCAUAAAGUAAAGCAUAAGAAAGAGUAGGCAUUUAAAAUCAAAUUCAUUCAUAAUAUGUGCCUUUAUAGUCCCGAGGACUGCGGUUAAGGAGCCUUAGUUUGGUACUCAUUCAAGGACCAUCCAAAGAAGUAACUGAACAAGUACUGAUCUUGUUGCAUUGAUUUCUUGAGGGACAAUUUAUCCUUUAUUAACUAAGAUCUAGUUGACUCUGAUGUCUUCCUCUGCUUAAUGCAUUACCAGGAAAUUUAUGUUCAGUAAUUCAGUUUUGCAGAACCAUCUUCCGGGGAUGACUUGGUUGACAAUGUGGUAUGGAUCAUUCAACAAAAAAUUGUACCUCUGGAGUUUUUGUAAAAAUGUAGACUGCAUAUCUGCACAUUAAAAAACCAGUAAAAUUCCCUCUGUUAAUCUGCAAACUGCACUGAGUGAUCUGAGCUGUAGUGAUCCAUUUUUGUAUCACAACAUGUCCAAAAUGAUUAGGAUCAAUGAAACAACUAUUUAAUCCUGCAUAUUUUGUGACCUGCUGCAUAUUGCCUUUAGAUUUCUGCUUCUGUGAACUCUUGGCAUUACUUCAUUGGUCUGCAGUUUUGCAAUUUUUUGUACCACCCUUUGCUUUCAAAUCUGGUUGGAUCUCAUGGUCCUGCUUCUCAUUAGUUGCACCAGGAAAAUGGUCCUUUGUAUAACUGCAUGCACCAACUUCCUGCAGCUGGUUGGUUUCAUCUAGUUUGUAUAUGGAUUGAAGUAAACUAAAAUGUUAAAGCCUUGGCUGGAAUUGACCCAGUCUUCCCCUUAUGUUUUUCCUUUUCUUUUCUCAGUUGUUUGUGCUUGAUUUAGGAGAUCAUUGUGCUGCUGCCUCUAUUGACAGCUUUGACGAUUAGUAGACAGCCUCCUUAAUCUUUAUGCAAAGUCAUCCUUUACAUUGUUCUAGAUAUUUCCACAUAUCUCAACAACUUUAGAUGGAGAUACAAAGUUGUUCUCCUCAUUAGCAAGACUUGCAAGUAUCUCAUUUUGCUGUUGCAAGUUUCCUGAAGUUACUUCAUAACCUACAGGUCUUUUAUUCACUUCUUGGCUACCUUAUUCUGCAUAUCAUCUUGUGCUUGUGUGUCAAUUUUGUCAUGCUCCUGUCCUGUAGUAUCAACAUCAUCCAUUUGUCCAUUUUAAUAUCAUAUGCCAUGCACGUAUUUGGUCUCCUACAAAUAGGCAGGAAAAAGGGCCUUACCUAUUGUUAGAUCAUAUAUGAAAAUGCAUGGAAUCCUUAUCAUAAAGUGUUAAGGUAACCUACCAAAAUGUUCUUAUCCACUUAGAAUUCCAACUGCAAGACAGUAUAUUCUUCCGAACUUUAAAUGUGUUCACAUUAUUCUCUAACAAAUAUGAGUUGAUAAUCUUUAAGAAAGGGAACAAAGUUUAUAAAAUGUCAUAUUUACGCUGAUGGCAUGAGAAAUUAUUUACGCUAGUAUUUUAUAUAACUUAGAUAUAUUAGAAUAUGGACUUACGUUAAUGGGUUAUAGCCUAAAAAAAGAUAGAUAAAAUAAAUGCCUACUAUUAGAUUAUUGUGUGUGCAGAUAAACAAGGCCUAUUAACUAGUAUUGACUUGUAAUGUGGAGAUCCACAACAAAGGUUGAAACAACUGCAGUUGGACAAUAAAUAUGCAAGAACCAAAUACUCUAUUCCUCAUGUCAUAAACAUAGGACUCAACAGCACCAAAUACUUUAUUCCUCAUGUCAUAAACAUAAGACUCAACGGCAUUCUUGUUGUCCUUUGUCUCUUCCAUAACAUGAUCCUGAAGAGCCAUUUCAAAUCCUUUCUCAACAGCCUUCUGAACAUCAGCAGCUGCCAUUGCACCAUAAACAAUCUCUGUCACUGGUACAAAUGUCUUCUUGACCUUUUUCUUGGGAGCUUCAACCUGUAAGAAAAUGAAAACAAUAAAUGCUAAACUUUACCGUCACCUUUGAGCUAACACACUGAAGCAGAAGAAUAUUAGUUAUUACCCCAAGAUUAAUUAAGCACAAAAGCACUACACUGAUGCCCUUUAAGGAUUAAACUACAGUUAAACACUAGGCCAUUCACUGGUUCCUGCAUAUUUUUUGAAGCUGCCACUUGCUUGCAUUUUGAACUAUAGCGUGUUUUAUUUUUGGUAGCCAAAUAGUAUGCUUGAGCUCUUUAUCUUUAUAUGUCAUCUAAGCUUAUUGUAGUUGUAGCCCCAUUGCAUUUGAAUGCAAUGGCUAUAUAUUUGAAUUCUUAAAACCAGAUGAAGAAGGGGGUGUUCUCUUUUUUUUUUUUUUUUUUUGUUGAAAUACAUGGGUAUUCUCUUAUUUUUUAUUUGUUGCACAUCGUAAUUUCUGUCAGCCAUGAAUUAGUAUAUCUUCUAAAGGGAAUUAUACUAUAUUUCCAUCGCUUUUUUAUCACCUCUUUUACUUCAAUGAAGCGACUUUAACUUGACUAGCAUUUUUUUGGUUGCGGAGCCUCCCAAAUAAUGUUGAAAAGAAGGAUAUGGAUUUUUAGCAAAUUAAGAGGAAAAAUGUGUCUGGCGCCCGGAACAUGAGACACAGCUAGCUCAAAACUUCAAGAAGAAAGCUCAGCGCUUACUAUGUUUGAAUGUUAAUGUUGUGGUGGAUUUGUGGAUUGUGUAAGUGUUUUGUGGAUGUUUGCGAGCGGUGAAGUAGUCUAAUGUUGUAGACUAACUUAGUCUAAUGUUGUAGACUAAUUUAGUGUAGAUCUACUAGUUUAAUGUUUUGUGGAUGUUUGCAAAGGUUGUGAAGUAGUUUAAUGUUGUGUAGGUGUUUGCGAAAGUUGAAGUAGCUUAAUGUCUGUUCGGAAUGUUUGAAUGAUGUUUUGAUUCAACUUUGAAGUAGUUUCGAAUUGAAUUUGACGUAUUAUUGGUUGUAAUAUAUGUGGUUGUUGAAGUA